UUAGAAUGGCAGAUAAAUGCCUAGACUUUAAGCGUCUAUUAUGGUUAUUAAACCUUCUAUCCC
This 63-nucleotide transfer RNA is filed under the name Platevindex sp. CL-2014. RNAcentral describes it as "tRNA-Leu". Lineage: Eukaryota; Metazoa; Mollusca; Gastropoda; Systellommatophora; Onchidiidae. The record is from RNAcentral.